UUUUGAUCGAUCAAUAGCCUUUGCUACCUGUAUUAAAUGCCCCUUUUAGUACAUCUGUGUAAAGGUUUGCUCCUGAAUUAAGCUGUUUGGGUAAAUUGAAAGAAUAUCACAUUGAGAAGCCUGGAAGUCUCGGACAACAAGCCAAAUUGGAAAGUUUGAUGUAAGUCUGACUAUCCAAAUCCAAGCAGUAGAAAUAAAUUAGUGGCGAACGCGAGAGCACUUCGCUGUUGAUCUCAACUACCUCCAUCUCGACUGAGUGAUUACGUGACUAGAGCGAAUUGAUAAUAUAGUUCUAAGAGUGUAACAUAGUUGUCUGAAGUGUAUGUUGAAGGUGUUACGCACAUAGUUGUCAAUGUCAUGCAUUCUAAAUAGCUGCCAAUACUUGUAAUUAGGUAUGCCAAUGUAGACUAUUUUAAGAAUUGUGCUGUAGUUUGGAUAGUAAUAUAUUUUGAGUGAACGGUAAAUUUUUUCAGUUUUGUUGGAUUCUACAACUCCACAUGCUUUGCGGAAGCCGGUAUGAUCGUUUUACAGUUUUAGUUUCCCCUCUUAUCAUGCCACAACUCUGUGUUGUGUUUGGUUGUUUUGAAUUUGGUUAUGUUACGUGAAUAAACAAGAAAGCAAUUGAAAAGUAGUUAUUGUUUAAGCUUUCAAGGCUGUAUGUUUCUUUUGUAUUAAUAAUUUUCGCAUCUUAGCGCAUGCGCAAAUGGUUUAGUUUGAGAUUCAGCUAAUUACUGAUACUUGUGGGAUUGAUGCUGUAUUUUCUAAAUAUUGAUAAUAACAACACAAACUGGGGGAUAACCAUGCACAUACUUUGCGGAAGCCGGUAUCGUUUCGUUGGUAAAGGCAAAACCAGGCGAGGCUCUGGCUCCCAUUGAUAAAGCUGCCAUAGUGUGCUAUGCAGUCACCAAUUUAACAGAGUUCAUUGUACCAUUUGAUCGAGGUGAACUUACAACCAGUUUGAUUCCAGGUACCUUAUGCACAAUUAAAUUUUUUCAUGUAAAGGCCUUAGAGAACUGAUUUAGUUAAUGCUAGCCAUAAUUUGUCAUUAAAGAACUUCAGUAAUUCUCCAGUUGACAAAUACACAGCUUUAAAGGUACACCAUUGACAAGCAACAUUUGUUUAGUAUGUGUCACAGAUGCUAGUCAUUAAUAGAUACCUAUAUGACAAACAACCCUAAAGUUCAGUUAGCAUUUUGACAAAGAAAGCAGCACCCCCAAAGUAACAUUUUGGUGAUUGUGGUACAACUGAAUAACCUUGACAUUUCAAUCAUGAUUGCUCAGUUAAUUUUUUCAAUAAAAAGUUGAACAGAUCCAGUC
This 1316-nucleotide long non-coding RNA is filed under the name Stylophora pistillata. RNAcentral's name for it is "uncharacterized LOC111326069, transcript variant X1". Lineage: Eukaryota; Metazoa; Cnidaria; Anthozoa; Scleractinia; Pocilloporidae. The record is from RNAcentral.